UAGGGAAUCUUCGGCAAUGGGGGCAACCCUGACCGAGCAACGCCGCGUGAGUGAAGAAGGUUUUCGGAUCGUAAAGCUCUGUUGUAAGAGAAGAACGUGUGUGAGAGUGGAAAGUUCACACAGUGACGGUAACUUACCAGAAGGGACGGCUAACUACGUGCUAG
This 164-nucleotide ribosomal RNA is filed under the name uncultured bacterium. RNAcentral describes it as "partial 16S rRNA". It matches the Rfam family "Bacterial small subunit ribosomal RNA", at positions 355 to 511 of the family's 1533-position model. The record is from RNAcentral.